AUUCUACUGGUUUCUCCUGGAGUUUGGUCUCUUCUGUUGGGCCAGAGUGAAGAUUCCCACAAUUCCUGGAAAUCUGUGAAGAAUUUGUUUCUGGACAGGAUUGUUAAGGUGGAACAUGUCUUUAAAGAGGCGACUGGUUUCCAUGUUCCUGUGCUGUAUUUACUGCGUGGCCUCGCUCUUCUGCCUCCAUCCCAACCGCAGUUCUGUGGGAGCGCGGAGUCUAGCAUCUGUUGUCCAACAGCUGUACCAGCGUGUCAUUCGGAUGCUGAGAACCACACUGUGACUUCACAAAACUUCCUGCGUUCCUUUGAGCAACCCUGGAUCUUCUGUCACUGCGACCAUGACCGAGCACGCUUCCCAACACAGCAGGACCAACGGAAUAAAAAAGAGGAAAAACACAAAGACUAAUACGUUUGGGGCUGCAGGGUUUGCAUCAACUUAGAAUCAUCUGAAAAACGUUGCUAAGAAAAGAAGAUGAAAACAAACAUAUUUUUCUACAUAAGAAGACUAACAUUGUUGAUAUUUGCUGUAUAUUAGUUGGAUGCCUCCCUG
Long non-coding RNA from Cyprinodon variegatus (sheepshead minnow), 552 nucleotides. RefSeq lists it as uncharacterized. The transcript has 3 exons. The record is from RefSeq and is a predicted model, not a curated record. NCBI's taxonomy places the organism in Eukaryota, Metazoa, Chordata, Actinopteri, Cyprinodontiformes, Cyprinodontidae.